Molecule: long non-coding RNA, 335 nt
Organism: Leopardus geoffroyi (Geoffroy's cat)
Lineage: Eukaryota; Metazoa; Chordata; Mammalia; Carnivora; Felidae
Exons: 4
Source: RefSeq, a predicted model, not a curated record
GCUCACCUGCGCCGGGACGGAAAGGACAGGGUGGCCGAGCCCGGCGGGCGCGACCAGGCGAGGCAACUCCCGCCCAGGGCCCGACUUCCUCACCGGCCGCGGGUCCCGGAGAAUCCUGAUCUCAGACCUUCUUUGUGCUUCAGGGUUGGUGAGCCCAGACCCAUGGAUGCCUAUAACAGUGCCUGAGACACAGAAGAUACUCAAGAACUACUUGAUGAAUGAAUGACUUCUCAGCAUGGAAAUCAGUCCUAUAAGACAGCUGUACAUAAAUUUUUGGACAGAUGCUUCAUCCAGGACUUAUGCUGUUGGUUUCUGGGCUUUCGGCUGCCACCACG